Molecule: long non-coding RNA, 106 nt
Filed under: Monodelphis domestica (gray short-tailed opossum)
Lineage: Eukaryota; Metazoa; Chordata; Mammalia; Didelphimorphia; Didelphidae
Description: lncRNA (ENSMODG00000043920.1)
Source: RNAcentral
UUUCUUCUUACUUUGUGAUGUGAUCUGCUGUGACAGCUGGCAAUACCCAAUAUUUUGCUGAUUCCUUAGGAUUUCCAAGCAUCUCAUCAGUAAGUAUGGAGUUUUA